RNAcentral lists this ribosomal RNA (301 nucleotides) under uncultured bacterium. RNAcentral describes it as "partial 16S ribosomal RNA". It matches the Rfam family "Bacterial small subunit ribosomal RNA", at positions 509 to 807 of the family's 1533-position model. The record is from RNAcentral.
CAGCCGCCGCGGUAAUACGUAGGGCGCAAGCGUUAUCCGGAAUUAUUGGGCGUAAAGAGCUCGUAGGCGGUUUGUCGCGUCUGCCGUGAAAGUUCGGGGCUCAACCCCGGAUCUGCGGUGGGUACGGGCAGACUAGAGUGAUGUAGGGGAGACUGGAAUUCCUGGUGUAGCGGUGAAAUGCGCAGAUAUCAGGAGGAACACCGAUGGCGAAGGCAGGUCUCUGGGCAUUAACUGACGCUGAGGAGCGAAAGCAUGGGGAGCGAACAGGAUUAGAUACCCCAGUAGUCCCUGUCUCUUAUAC